RNAcentral lists this ribosomal RNA (255 nucleotides) under uncultured bacterium. Its description in RNAcentral is "partial 16S ribosomal RNA". It matches the Rfam family "Bacterial small subunit ribosomal RNA", at positions 526 to 779 of the family's 1533-position model. The record is from RNAcentral.
CGAAGGGCGUAGCGUUGCUCGGAAUGACUGGGCGUAAAGGGCGCGUAGGCGGCACACACAGUCAGGCGUGAAAUUCCUGGGGCUUAACCUGGGGGCGUGCGUUUUGAGACGUGUGAGCUAGAGGAUGGAAGAGGCUCGUGGAAUUCCCAGUGUAGAGGUGAAAUUCGUAGAUAUUGGGAAGAACACCGGUGGCGAAGGCGGCGAGCUGGUCCAUUACUGACGCUGAGGCGCGAAAGCGUGGGAGCAAACAGGAUU